This 798-nucleotide long non-coding RNA is filed under the name Homo sapiens (human). Its description in RNAcentral is "family with sequence similarity 95 member B1". Lineage: Eukaryota; Metazoa; Chordata; Mammalia; Primates; Hominidae. The record is from RNAcentral.
AAUGAAACCUCUUUUCCAUCCAGAAGCACUGCUGACUGUUUGGUGGUUGCUGUUAGGGCAGUGAGCCUUUUGUCCAUUCUGAGAUUAGGCUGGUUUCUCCUCUUGGCCCUGGCCUACAGACCAUAAAGGAAAACAGCAAGAGGUCCCCAGCAAACAUCUACAGAUGGCCCUGGACAUCAGCCACAUUCAGAGAAACGUGUCAUGUUCUGGGAGGGCUAAGGCAUCGAGAAUCCCAGUGAAUAUAUUGCCACCAUCUUGGAGCUCAGUGCCCUCAUAGUGUAACAGCACCAGCAGAUCUGCCUGUGCACAGACUUCCUGUACUACCUCACUCCUGAGGGGAGAUGCUUCUGCAGGGCCUGCGACCUGGUGCACAACUUUAGACACCAUCAUCCUGGAGCGGCACUGCACCCUCACUAGCCAGGGUGUUGAUGACUUCCUCAAUGCCAAGGCCACGUUCAAGAUUUUCGACUUCAGUGAUGCGUUUGUGCUGAGCAAGCCAAGAGACCCAAGCCUGCCUUGCUGCCACUUAGGAUAUGACAGCACAGCCAGUGGCCUCUACUGGAUCCUGGUACCCCUCAGAAGACACCCAGACACUGGGAGUGCUGCCACCUCGUGGUGCAAGAGUUCUGAGGGACGGCAAUUCUGAAGACAUUGAAUGCCGUUUUGCACACCCUGGUCAGAAUGAAACAUUCCUUGGGAACUCGGGCCGUGAGAAGCAUCCUUCCUGAUCACCUGACUGUAGAAACAUCCUUAUCGCACCCUCCCGGGCAAAGGCCCAACAGCCUGACUGCAGGAACA